GGAGGGGGAUAACUACUGGAAACGGUGGCUAAUACCGCAUAACGUCGCAAGACCAAAGAGGGGGACCUUCGGGCCUCUUGCCAUCAGAUGUGCCCAGAUGGGAUUAGCUUGUUGGUGAGGUAACGGCUCACCAAGGCGACGAUCCCUAGCUGGUCUGAGAGGAUGACCAGCCACACUGGAACUGAGACACGGUCCAGACUCCUACGGGAGGCAGCAGUGGGGAAUAUUGCACAAUGGGCGCAAGCCUGAUGCAGCCAUGCCGCGUGUAUGAAGAAGGCCUUCGGGUUGUAAAGUACUUUCAGCGGGGAGG
Molecule: ribosomal RNA, 310 nt
Filed under: Salmonella enterica subsp. enterica serovar Chester
Lineage: Bacteria; Pseudomonadati; Pseudomonadota; Gammaproteobacteria; Enterobacterales; Enterobacteriaceae
Description: bacterial SSU rRNA
Rfam family: Bacterial small subunit ribosomal RNA
Source: RNAcentral